GUGGAACUCCAUGUGUAGCGGUGAAAUGCGUAGAUAUAUGGAAGAUCAUCAGUGACGAAGGCGACUGUCUGGUCUGUAGCUGACGCUGAGACUCGAAAGCAUGGGUAGCGAUCAGGAUUAGAUACCCUGGUAGUCCAUGCCGUAAUCGAUGAAUGCUAGGUGUUGGAGGGUUUCCGCCCUUCAGUGCCGCAGCUAUCGCAUUAAGCAUUCCGCAUGGGGAGUACGACCGCAAGGUUGAAACUCAAAGGAAUUGGCGGGGGCCCGCACAAGCGGUGGAGCAUGUGGUUUAAUUCGAAGCAACGCGAAGAACCUUACCAGGUCUUGACAUCUUUUGAUCACCUGAGAGAUCAGGUUUCCCCUUCGGGGGCAAAAUGACAGGUGGUGCAUGGUUGUCGUCAGCUCGUGUCGUGAGAUGUUGGGUUAAGUCCCGCAACGAGCGCAACCCUUAUGACUAGUUGCCAGCAUUUAGUUGGGCACUCUAGUAAGACUGCCGGUGACAAACCGGAGGAAGGUGGGGAUGACGUCAAAUCAUCAUGCCCCUUAUGACCUGGGCUACACACGUGCUACAAUGGAUGGUACAACGAGUUGCGAGACCGCGAGGUCAAGCUAAUCUCUUAAAGCCAUUCUCAGUUCGGACUGUAGGCUGCAACUCGCCUACACGAAGUCGGAAUCGCUAGUAAUCGCGGAUCAGCACGCCGCGGUGAAUACGUUCCCGGGCCUUGUACACACCGCCCGUCACACCAUGAGAGUUUGUAACACCCGAAGCCGGUGGCGUAACCCUUUUAGGGAGCGAGCCGUCUAAGGUGGGACAAAUGAUUAGGGGA
RNAcentral lists this ribosomal RNA (824 nucleotides) under Lacticaseibacillus paracasei. RNAcentral's name for it is "bacterial SSU rRNA". It matches the Rfam family "Bacterial small subunit ribosomal RNA", at positions 661 to 1483 of the family's 1533-position model. Lineage: Bacteria; Bacillati; Bacillota; Bacilli; Lactobacillales; Lactobacillaceae. The record is from RNAcentral.